UGACAAUAGAUAAUCCAUCUAUCGCAAAACAGGAGGAUCCAGAUAAGUUGUCGAAGACCAUAGUGACCUAGAAUUGGGUCGUCUUUGAUGAUGAAUUCAAGGCCAAAGGAUGUGCAGAUGAAUUCUCAUUUUGGGGGGUCGAUGGAGUUGAAAAGACGACAAAUUAUAUAGAUCCUUUUGCAGCUUCUCUAAAUUGUCGUCCUCUUUUAUAUGGUUAUAACAGUGAUCCAAAUUUCUUGUAUCAUCAAAUGGGUUCCUGCAGUUCGAGCAUUACUUCAAUCCAUUUCCAGCAGCUGCUUCAACUGUUGGAAACCAGAGUAAUUGGAUUGUCUCUCUUUAAGGAGAAC
Molecule: long non-coding RNA, 347 nt
Organism: Telopea speciosissima
Lineage: Eukaryota; Viridiplantae; Streptophyta; Magnoliopsida; Proteales; Proteaceae
Exons: 3
Source: RefSeq, a predicted model, not a curated record